AAAGUGCGAUAUGUACUGCGCUGUGCGCGAAAUGCGCAGUCAUUCUUCGAAUACACAUUGUCCUGUCUGGCGAAUAGCCGGCAGGGCAUCUGCUUCAGGGUUGUUGAUUAGUUUCGCGUUUGGUUGGUCGCUACUGCUUCCUCCACUCGCUUCGCCGGGGGUGUCACCACCACGUGUGUCCCCCCGUAAUGUGUCCUCGUUGCUCUUGCUUCUGUGGACUUGGGUGUAUGGCAGUCUGGUUCAUUGCUUGCAUUGUUCCGUGUAUUGCUUCUCCCUAUUAUUUUGACCCGACCUGAAGUCAGGUGUGACUACCCGCUGAACUUAA
Molecule: unclassified non-coding RNA, 325 nt
Filed under: uncultured fungus
Lineage: Eukaryota; Fungi
Description: sequence contains ITS1
Source: RNAcentral